UAGGGAAUCUUCGGCAAUGGGGGGAACCCUGGCCGAGCAACGCCGCGUGAGUGAAGAAGGUUUUCGGAUCGUAAAGCUCUGUUGUUAAGGAAGAACGUGUGUGAGAGUGGAAAGUUCACACAGUGACGGUACUUAACCAGAAAGGGACGGCUAACUACGUGCCAGCAGCCGCGGUAAUACGUAGGUCCCGAGCGUUGUCCGGAUUUAUUGGGCGUAAAGCGAGCGCAGGCGGUUAGAUAAGUCUGAAGUGAAAGGCAGUGGCUCAACCAUUGUAGGCUUUGGAAACUGUUUAACUUGAGUGCAGAAGGGGAGAGUGGAAUUCCAUGUGUAGCGGUGAAAUGCGUAGAUAUAUGGAGGAACACCGGUGGCGAAAGCGGCUCUCUGGUCUGUAACUGACGCUGAGGCUCGAAAGCGUGGGGAGCGAACAGGAUUAGAUACCCUGGUAGUCCACGCCGUAAACGAUGAGUGCUAGGUGUUAGGUCCUUUCCGGGACUUAGUGCCGCAGCUAACGCAUUAAGCACUCCGCCUGGGGAGUACGACCGCAAGGUUG
RNAcentral lists this ribosomal RNA (550 nucleotides) under uncultured bacterium. RNAcentral's name for it is "bacterial SSU rRNA". It matches the Rfam family "Bacterial small subunit ribosomal RNA", at positions 355 to 896 of the family's 1533-position model. The record is from RNAcentral.